UAUGUGGAAGAGGGCGAAGACACCAAAAUCGGAUGAUAUCGUUGCCAAGAGAGUGUCUGUGAUGGCACCAUCCACAUCACAAGCUGGAAUCAAAACACCUGUAACAUAGGAGGUCAAGGAUUGGACUGUGUCAUCCUUGUCUCAGCUCGGUCGUUUUACUGGCAUGUGGUGGAUCUUGAGUCCAGAAACACCUCAGGAUGGCUUAUCGCAAGAA
Molecule: long non-coding RNA, 214 nt
Organism: Lampris incognitus (smalleye Pacific opah)
Lineage: Eukaryota; Metazoa; Chordata; Actinopteri; Lampriformes; Lampridae
Exons: 3
Source: RefSeq, a predicted model, not a curated record